CCCAUUUUUAUAGGCGGCUCAGCACGCGGGCCCGCUCACCUCACGCUUCGUCUCUCUGUCCUGAUUGGCUCCUGGCUUCCGGCUCCAGCCCAGGGAGGUGGGGGGGAAGACUUGCGAGCGCGCGCGCGUGCCUUUUCCCAAGCGGCCAGAGCGCCUGUGCACGAGGGGCGGGGACGGGGGGCGCCGAUUGGCCGGUUCCCCGGUCGUCGUGGUAACCGAGCGGGCGCGCGCGCGCAGGGCGCGGGGUGGGAUCGGAGUACCGUUGGUCAUGACAUCGGUGGCGGCGCGGCCGCCCGGCCCGGCCCGUUUGGUCCCCGCUUCCUCUUCCCGCCGAGCUCAGUCCCGCGCCCGCGCCCCUCUGUGCCUGCCGCUGAGGGCUCGGUGUCCACCUCCCCGCUCUCUCCCGGCCCCCGGCGGCCGCCGCUGAAACAUGAGGAUAAUUGAACGGGGAAAGGUUCGGGCCGCAGCGGGGGCUCGACCGGGGUGGGGAGGCUGAGCCGGAGGUGAGCGGUGAGGACAGAGGGAGGGAGCCGGCCGGGGCAGGGCGCGAGUCACCCCGCGGUGGGCUGCGCGGUGGAGCUGCCUGCCUUCGGGUAUACGGUGUUUAACUGAGGCGGUGCUGCCUCAGGGCUGGCCGUGCCAAGACUUCCUAACGCGCCGGUGUCAUUCACUCCCGUGACUUGGCUAUGAAAACAUGCGGGAAAUCUUUGUGCUGUACAAAGUGUAUUGCAGCAAUCAACAAUAUAUUUAAACUCUGCUUCUUACGGAAAGUUACUCAGUUACUUAGUUAUCAUGUGCGAGGGCUGAUUCAUGCCUAUGUGGUAAACUGGUCUCUCUUGGCUCAGGAGAAACUCAAACAGAAAGGUAAGCUACGAGAAGAAAAAUAUUUUCCACAUGCAGUGCUUCAAAGUUGAGUUUCUUUGUUAGUUUUGGCGGUGGAAAGAUGUUCUCCCGUUACGGGAAAUGUCAGCACCUGCGCCCUAGUCCUUUGCAGUGAGUGAAGAGUGUCGGAGCAGUGAUGUCGCAGCCAGCUGGAAAGAGCCGCAGCUUUCAUGGCCCUCCUGCUGCCGGGGAGGGAAGAAUAACACAAUUACUCGUGAUGACUAGAAAAUGGUCACCAAGCAAUUAAUCCAGUUAGAAACCCCUAAAACCAGAACGAAACCCACUGCCUCUUUAACCGGAGCACAUUGUACUGCAUUACAGAUUUCACCAGAUGUUGUUUUGCAAGGGUCUUUGAAACCAGCAUUUCUGCCAAGCAAGGAGCUAGCAGACAAGAAAUCUUUUCCUUGGGGAAUGGAUGAAAAGGCCUACUUAAACCAGAGAGGUUUCCUUCUUUCACUUGUGCCUGCCAAGGCUGUGACUGCCAAGGCUAUUGCUAAAAAGGUUUUAAUUCAAGGAUAACUUGCUUAGCACACUGACAGGCAGAGUGCACAGGAUCUUGAUAAGAUGCUCCCCAUACAGAUGUUUUGAAGCGUGCAGCUAUCCUCUUGUCUUGUGACUUACCAUUUCCCUCCUGGAGGUCUGCUGUCGAGGACCUGACAGACAAACACACAAUCACAUAGAAUGCCAACAGGAGAACAGAGCUGGGCCAUCUUUUCCCUGUCAUUACACUGUUUGGCUCAGGACUUUGUGUAUUCAUCCUUAGAGGACACCAAUGUUCCUGUACCUGCCUGGCAGUUGGUAUUCCCUGGCACAGCCCCAGUGGUCCUGUUAUCACAAGGAGGUGGGAGGCGGAAGCUCAGCAGUGAUGGCCCCAGUCUGGGUCAAGUCAUUCUGGCACUUGUGCAUGACCAGUCUGUCAGUGCAGCCCAAGGGACACUGCCAAUGCUGCCUCUUACUGCCCUUCAAAAUCCUUUCUUGUGGCUACAUGGCUAACUGCCAGAGAAAGAUGCCACUCAGUUAAAGUUCAAACCAAGUUUGUAGCCAAAAAAGCAACUCCUGCUCCCUUCCAGCCCUGAAUUAGAAUGACUUCAAAACAAAUAGAGUGACCUCAAAAAACAAAAAUAGAAGUGCUAUUCAAUCACCACCUGCCUUCCUAGAAAAUCCUAUUUCCAUCAUUUGCACCUACUGGCAACCUCUACAGGGUCUCCCUAUCAAUUUCCUAAGGCUACACAGCCCAGCAAGCUAGCCCAGAAUGGAUGACUUGCUGUCUGCAAUGUUUUGUCCUCCAUACUGAGGUCUACAGGGGUCUGUGCCACUUUCUUUUCCCUAUUCAAAAAACAUCCAUCUUUGUGUAAACUUGGUAGAGUCACAACCUUAACAGGACUUUCUUGUUCUUAAUAGAUUGUUCAUUAUGGUCUUCCUGUGCUCAACAUCCUCCUAUCCCAGUGUAGAACAACUCAGGUCCCAGGAUCUCCUCCAAGAUUUUAUUGGAGGAGCCCAGGUUCUUGUGUACAGUCAACAGCACCAAGGGCAAGGUUCACUUAUCCCUGAAAAUCCUUCAAAGAAGUGCAAAUUUAUUUCCUUUGACUAUUAAAGGAACCCAGACCAGGCAGCUUGGGUGUACACAUCUACUUUGCAGAUGUCUAGAAUGAAGAUGAACACCAUCCAAAGUGACUCAGCAUACUGUCUGAACAGGAUUUACCUCCUGAUUAUUUUCCCCACAGUUCACACAAACGAAAGGAAAGCUAAGCCAUGCACCAUCAGCAUGCCAGGAGCAUGCUCGUUUUUCCAGUAGGAGGGCCAGACUUCCUUUUGCUUUGUAACCUUCGUAGCAGGGUCUCUUCCUUUGAAAGCACGCCACAAAGAAAAAAGAUUAGAACCACCUAAGUUCAGUAUACUGCUCAACACGUUGGUUGAGAGAGUCUCUGUUAUUUCAUUAAAGAUCAUCUGCACUCCAGAAAGAUGCAAAGUGCCCUCACACGAAUCAGUCCAUGCAUUUUCCCAGUUCUGGCCCUUACGGGACACACAUCCUUUCUCUUCCUUGAUUUCAAACUCGGCAACUUGUUUGUGACAGGGUCCCCUUGAAAAAACAGAAGACUAUCAUGCACACACAGAGGAAGAAGAGGUGGCCACUGCUAGAGGCAGAUACAGGCAGCUAUAAAAACAACCCUGUCAAAAGCACGACAGAAGACAAGGGAGGUGUUGCUGAUUUACACUGAGAGGGUGGGAGCACGUCAGGGGGCUGGGAAGAGGGCAGGAGGCCUGUUCUUAGACAGUGGCCAGGAUUAGGUAGACCAGGUUGUUUGGGGUGGGAUGAAGGUCUCUGUGUCCCCUUGUCUCCUCAGAAGAGAUGUAGAGAAGUAUCAGAGCAUCGGCACAGAGAUUCAGCACAUGUGCUGCAAAGGCAGGACGGAUGAUAUUUUCUGGUUUAGCCUAGCUGUUGCUUUUGGCUGAUAACCAGUAAAAAUAAAGCUUUACUGGUUUUAUUACCACAUCUGAGAGAUCAGUGUGAAGUACAACCCUGCCACCAGGCAGAGAGCGACACAGUGGAGAAUCUAAUAGCUCCCUCCUAUCCUUUUCUUUCAGACUGUGCUAAAAUGGUAACACUUGCCUUACCUGCAAACUAACAAUAGCUGUACAGCAGCAUAGGAAAGGUAAACAAGCCCUAAGUAGAGGGGAUGUAGCCAUUACCCCUAGGCACUGACUAAAGUUAGAGACCACAUACUCUUCUAGGGAAAAAAACUGCAAAAGGAACCGAUUUUGAAGUGUUUCUGACCUAAAACUACAGUCCUGUGGUCCACCAUGCUCCACCUACAAAUAUCUCCCCCAGAUUCUGAUCACAGGCUAGCAAAAUGACAGAUUUGGAGUUUUUGCCUUUAAAUCAGAAUGCAGCCCCCAUCAAUAGCAGAUAAUGCUCUAACAGUGGAUUUCAUCUAUGUGACAACAAAAAUAAGAAAGAAAACCCUGACAUCAAGCCAGUUAUCAAUAGACAGGUGAACUAACGUGCCCCCAGGAACUAUACUGCUAUAGAAGGGUUUGUUGCAUAUGGCAGAGAAGGGAGGAGGCAAACUGGAAAAUUUCUGCUCUUUUUUCUGUGUUCGCAGUCAGGCAGUUUGCAGAUGAUUGGUAAAUUCUCUUAAAGCGCUUUUAAGGAAAGGCAGAAACAUAGUUUGGAGCAUGUAGUUUCCUUGCUAGAGCUGCAUUAAUUCUGAAUAGCUCUGCUGCACUGCAUCAUGCUAAGCAGAAUGGGAUCCCUCUGCUACUAGAAAGCUUUUGUCUACUUGUUACUGAAAUCCCAAAUGAUAUAUUUUGCAUGGAGUGCACAGUACUUGUAUGAUUCUUUUCCUAUGCUACAUCAAUUUAAUUAAAAUACUACAGUCUCCUGGG
Phalacrocorax carbo (great cormorant) is the source of this 4269-nucleotide non-coding RNA. The record is from RefSeq and is a predicted model, not a curated record. Lineage: Eukaryota; Metazoa; Chordata; Aves; Suliformes; Phalacrocoracidae.